Ornithorhynchus anatinus (platypus) is the source of this 72-nucleotide non-coding RNA. The record is from Rfam. NCBI's taxonomy places the organism in Eukaryota, Metazoa, Chordata, Mammalia, Monotremata, Ornithorhynchidae.
AGCAGCGUGGCUCAGUGGAAAGAGCAUGAGCUUGGGAGUCAGAGGUCAUGGGUUCUAAUCUCAACUCUGCUA